UCGUAGGUGCGGUGACGGUGGUGGUGGUUGUAGUUGAGGGGCGGUGACGGUGGUGGUGGUUGUAGUUGUGGGGCGGUGACGGUGGUGGUGGUUGUAGUUGCAGGGGCGGUGAAGGUGGUGGUUGCUGCGGUGGCCGUAGUUGUGGGGGCAGUGCUGGUGGUGGUUGUAGUGGUGGCGGCGGUGGCAUGUCGCUUCCUUCCACCGACAGCUCCGCGUGGGCCGCGGCGGGCUCUGACCCCUGAGGGAGGAGGAGGGGCGGGUGGAGCUGGGCCGGCGGCCUGAGCGCUGUCCUGCCGCCGAGCCCGCGGGGCGGCCGCACGUGCCGCGCUGCCGUUGGCUGGAGGGCCUGGAGGAGCCACCGCCCGGCCAGCCUGCGGGGUCGGGGCGUGCGGCUCUGCGGGUCCGGCCCUGGAGCUGAAGCGCCGUGGUCGCAGGUGGGGCUGCAGCGCUAACUUGGUUAUCCUGAGAACACGCGCUUUCUUGCCCUGGAGAAUUGCUGUUGAAGAGGGACAAGAGAGGAGGACAACGCAGGAGGAGAUAAGUAGCUCUGGCUGGACACAAGGGCAGGUCACAGCACUCGAUAGUCGUUGUGGAACAGGGAAAGGGCCGGGAGGAGGCUGCAGCCUGCAGGGCCGGCUGAUAGCGCGAGCUCCUCCUGGAUCUCCCUGGCUCAGGAGCUGUCUCCCCUCCCCUCCUCCCUUUUUGUACCGCCUUAUUGAGUUGUUGACACCCAACUGAUCGUUCUCAACAGUGUUGAGAAACACUGAUUUUGUGGUCUGCCUUAAAGUUUUAGUCCUUGUUUUACAUUUUAAUAUUGGUGCAUCUCAACCUUGCAGGGGCCUAGAGGUGGCAGCUGUCUCUCCUCAUGGGAUCUAGCUGUUGGAAUUAUUGAGAGAAAGGAUUUCUGUUUUUGACCCCAUAGGAAUAGAUCCAGAAUUCAACCCCAAAUUUGCCUUCUCAGAGAAGUAUAUGCCGUCUAGACUUGGGGACAUGAUCAGAGGCCCCUGCCCCUGACUUUUAAAAUUACCUUUACUUUCUAGAGCUCUUAUACUUUCCAAAGUGCUUUUUCUCACAUCAGCUCACUUGUUCUUACAACAGCCCUGUAAAGUAUUAUUAAUAUUACUAGGCAGACAGCUCUGAGGCACCUGAAGUAUUUCUCUCUCCCCACCUCCAUUCUCUCUUGCAAAACUAUUGCUAGGCUAGUCUUUGCUAUCUUUACAUCAGUUUUCUAAAAUCAAAAUCCUUCGAUCGCUCUCUGUUUGUCCUCCUAUCAGAUUGAACCCCCUCUGCCUAGGUUAUACUGUGGCCUUAAAACCAGGGUCUAAUCCUACUCUAAACCCUUUCUCACCACAGUUCCUGGAAUAAGGCUGACUGUGCCUCAGCCCGCGUGCUUCCCUCAGUAGCGAUGCCUCCUCUCAGACCACCCGUCUGCCUAUUCUUUAGCAUCUGACUCCCCCUUGGAGCCUGCCCAGAUCAUUAACACCUUAAAGAUCCCAUCUUCCUCUGAAUUCCCAUGGUUGCCAUGGCUAUUUGGUCAAUUAUAAUGUGGUUUUAAAGGCCUAAUAGAGAAAAUGUAUAGGAUAGACUUGAUAUAGGGAAGAAAGCACUGAACUAAGUGGGUUGUAAAGACGAUGUCUACUGAGCAGCUGUGGGCUCCAAGUAAGGUUGCUCUGCAUUUGUGGUUCUAUGUUUCCUGAACUGUGAACGUGGAGAGGUUUGGGCCAGGUGAUGCUGAUGGUCCCUUCUCCUUCUGAGGUUCUGUGACAACUUGGUCUUCCUUAUGUGGGAUGGGGUUCGGGCUCUUAUGGAGUUCUUGAAUGAAAGUGUCAGGAAUGAGCACUCAGUGCCUUCAGGACUGGUUCUAUUCCAAAGAUUGCUAAUGCUAAACUUGACAAUCUUUGAAUGCCAUGUGCCUUUUUUGGUAGGCAUUUUAGCCACAAGCAUUCAGGGAAGGUAGCGGGAUGAUGAAUUAGGAACAACAAAGGGUUAUCCUUGUGAAUGACUUCGUAUGAUGGAAUAGAUAAGGUCAACUAUUGGAUAAAUCUAAGUCUUAGCAUUUAUAAUUUACUUUGCAUUUCAUCUUCACUGGAUGGUGCUAUAUAAUAAAUGCAGUUAUGUUUUCCUUUUGCUCAUUUCAUGACUUGGAAACAUUAAAAUAGUCAAAACUCUAGGAUAGAUGCUGAUGACUUUCUGUAAUGAUCUGGUUGGUCACAUGUUGUAAGGAUGCAUAUGCAUGUACAUGUAUUACAUGCACAUUUUGCUUGAAUUAAGAAGGGUACUCCUAAGUUAUGAGGUGCUAUUGUACAUUGACCAGACUUAAGGAUCUCUCUUUAAAGUGUGUUGACAUUUAAUUGACCUUUGAAGGUUCACUCUGUUAAUCAUACUCAGAAUGCUGAAGCUGUGGUUGGCUGCUCUGGUGUUUUACAUCCAGGCAUGCUCAGCAUAUAAAUUCUUCGGCAUAAUUGCUGCUUAUUUAGCAAGAGUUUCCUUUCUUCUCUGAAAAUGUGAGUUGUGUUUUAUUUUUGUAUCUUUUUCUUUUUUAAACUUUGCUUCAGGCUGGAUAGUUUUAGAGGUUUGAAUUGAAAUCCUUUCCUGUCAUUAGUUGUAUGGGGUGUGGUCUCUUAAUAUAGGACUAAUGGAAAUUUCUUGCUUAGUUGAAGUGUACUCUUCUUCUGGCAGAAGUUAGAACUCUUUGAGGUAUAAUGCUAAAAUUUAGAGAAGCUUAACACUUCAACACUACAUAUUUUUAACCUGAUAAACUUUUGAAAAUCUUUCAGUUCCAUUUUUGUAGAUUAAAACUAUCAGUGCUAAUACUUUUUAUUAAGCCAGGAUUCAAAGGAUCUAUUUCCAUAGCAUACUUUAAUUAUAUUCCUUGAAUUGCCAUGAGUGGAAUUUUAUUUUAUUAUAAACGAUGUAUUUAUUUUUAAAAAGUCAAAUAUAUUUCUUUUUUAAAGCUUAACAUUUUAUUACCAUCACCUAGAGAACAUCUGCUGAAAUGUUUGAAAAUUUCUGGGUAUUAAGUUUACAAAAUCAGCCUGGAAAUAAUUUUUAAUAUAGUUAGCUUUCUUACAGGUUUCUAAAAUAUUUCUAAUGAUCACUGAAAAGUAGCUACACUUUUUGCUAAAUGUUGAUAGAAAAAUAAAAACAUGUGAUUACCAAAUUUUGAUAAUUUAUCUUUGAGACUCCAGACACUUUUUAAAAAUAUUUUUAUCUUAAAAACAAUUUUUAAAUAGGGAAGAUAAAAUUUAAACCAGAGUUUUUUUUCAUGAGGUGAUUUUAUACUGUUAAAAUACCUAGCUCCAUAUUCGAGAUGCAUUUUGUUCCCUGUUCAAAAGUCUCAUGCCGUGAUAUCAUUAGUGUGUUUACACACUGCAAGCUUGGUAGAUGGGCUCGUGCAUGAAGCUGACCUUAUUUCUCAUCACCACCUCUCCUUCCAUGUUGCCCUAUCUUUUUUCCUGUCUUUCUGUUCCCAGUUUUACAACUUAUAGUUGUCCUUUUCAUUUCAUUAUAACCCCACCACUAAAGGAAAAUAAGUCUUUUCCCUUAGUCCAAACAUUUAACUACAAACUCCAUCCUGUUUUAGAAUACACAAUGAAGCCUCUUAAAUACUAUUAUCUAAAUAAUAUGUAAAGAAUGCAAAUGACGGCAAUGCUGAACAGUCAGAUACAGGAUAUCCCAGACUAAGGAUGAUGAACUCUCACACUUCUAUUUUGUGAAUUGUGACUUGAGCAGAUAGAUUUCUUUCUUUCUGUAUAACUAAGUGUCUCAGGACCAGGCCAGAAUUGGUUAAGUACAGAAUGUUAAGAUAAAGCCUGGUUUCUCCGGUAAUCUGUCUUGGUAAUUAUACUGAACUGAUGACACAUAUUGACAAAAUCAAUAUAUUUGCUCUUCUUUUCUGUUCGAAGUCUGUUUUGCCAUCAUAAAAAGCUUUCUGCCAUUUGAAUCUGGAUAUGUGUAUUCACAGAUAAUUUAUUUUAUUUAACAAAUUCUUAUAUCAUACUUUCAUGUUCUAACCUUAUUCUAAACACUUUACAGGUAUUAGUUUAUUUAAUCCUCUAGCUCUAUAAUUAUAGUUAUUAUAUAGUUAUUAUCAUUUUUCAAUUAAGAAAACCAAGGCACAGAGAUUUAUUUUAGAGUAGGCCCUUAAGUGAUGAGAGACUGCUAAGUGUGGGCCGAAUGGAUAGCUUAACAGUCAUGCUAAGAAUCAACAAAAAGAUGUGCAGGAGUUUUGGGAAGAUGAGUCUUCAUAGAAAGAGUCAGGGACUCAGCCGGGCCCAAUCUUAGAGAGCAACACAUCUUCCCUCCUUGGUUUUAAGCCUUGGGCUAUAUAGAGGCCAAACUUAGAAAGGAGGCACUCAGUCCUAAGACGUGGUCAUUGCUGUGGGCUUCAGCAGCCUCUGGGCCUGAUGAGGGGCUGUGCUGGCUCACUGUGCCUCGCGUAUGGCUGCACACAUUGCAAAUACCGGUGCAGGUGGAGAAUCUCCUCUCCCAGCCUCAACGCCAGCCAGCCCACCACAUUCUCCUUCUUGCCCUGCUUUCUUUGUGUAUUCCUUUGCAAAUAUUGUUCAGUAGUGUUUACGUAUGUGUAUUGUAUGAGGUUUAGAGAACCAUGUUAAGCAAUGAAGUUAAAGGACAAAGCUAUGUUUUCUCUUGGAAUUGGGGAUGGAAGAAAAUGAGAGAACAGGUAAAAGUAGGAAAUACGGAGAAAGGAGGAGACAUCAUGGAAAAGAAGAGAGAUACUGAGGGAAAAAAUGGUGAAAAAACAAGGAAGAAAGAAAAUUACUGAUUUGCUUUACACCCACAGCCCCUCCCCAGCUUCCUUUUCUUUGCCUGACCUGAGGUUCCUGGGGUGUUCUGCACUGUGGGAGUGGAAAAUUUCUCCCUUUCGCAUUUGAGACUUGGGUGUGCUGCCUUGAGAUGCCACGGGUAUCUGAGUAAUAUUUGUUUAUACUGGGUAUUUUUCUCUGUAGUCUUUGUGGAUGGGUCUCAGAAUACAAACAACACUGUUAGCAGAGCUGCAGGUACUCGAUUGCUAUGUUUAUUUUAUUAGUUAAAAAACUGCCAGAGCCCUAGGACUCCUGAGCACAUUUUAAAAAUACCAGAGGCAUUUUUAAGAAGCGCUUUAGAAAGAAAGAAAAAAUAAGAAGAAAAGUUAGGACUUUCAGACUCUGGAAUGCUGACCAACGUGGUAGGGUUUUUUUUAUUGUUUUCAAAGACUCUAUAUUAGGGUCUUUUCAUCAACUAUUUUUUAAAAGUGGGUUUUUAAGUAUGAUACUUUUGUUCCACAGGAUGUAAAACUAAAGUUAAUUCUUUAGGGAAUUUAGGAUUUUUUUGAAUCCACUUAAAUCAUCUCUAAUGACUUUUCUUGGUCAGAUCACAGGUCUGAAAGUAUUUCCUACUGAUUUGUGAUUGUAUUGGGACAGAAUCAUUGAAAUUGUGACACUUCCAGAAAAUCCAAAAUAUAUGGCCAGUUUUACCCUUAAACUUUCUGAUAAUUCAUUUUUGGGCCCCUGAAGUCUCUCUCUUUAUCUUGCUCUCUGUAGAAAGGUACACUAUUCAGUAGCAUUUGUGAAAAACACCCAGUUUAAAUAACAAAAUGUUGAGCUAAUCUAAAUGAUAAAAGUAUUGAUUUGAAGAAAUUAAUUUAUUUUUAAAUAUUCAUUCAUUUCUCAGGUGGAGAAAUGGCCUGGUCUUAACAGGCUUGAUUAGAUUCCCGUCAGUAAAACAAAGUAAACUAAAGAUUUUUUUCCUUGAUCAUUGCAUGACAAUAACAUACUGUUCAAACGUUUCAAGAAUCUCUAAUUAAUUUAGCCUUAGGGAAUAGCAAGGGGGAAAGGGACUUUUCUUUCUCAUUUGUCCUUUUUUUCAUUUAUCCAUUCCUUCCCCUACUUGUCUAUCCUGUCUUAUAAUCAUGGAAAUUUUUAUUUUCUCCCACUGUUCCUUAAAUGUUCCCCAUUUGUACAUCCUAGAUUACCACCACACCAAGUUUUCUUAGAAUUAGGCAGAAAUGGAAGCUGGACCUUUAGAAGCUUAGGGAAAUCAUCCCAUGUUUUCUCAGACUCUCCUCGCUCCCAAGAGGAGAGGAGAAAAACAGUAGUUGGUUUGUGACUGUUGCUUCUGUGGCUGCCCUAUUUGGUUGACCUCAGCUUUUUUACCUCCUUUCUUAAUGCUUAAAUCUACAAAUGAAAUUAGGGCCAGUCACACUGGUAUUUCCAUCAUCAGCUAUCCCUAGUGGUUCAAAUUUAGUGCAAACCUGCUAUGAGUACAUAUUAAUUAGGUGAAUAAAAUAGGAUGAAAUUACAACAUGAGUUUUUUAAUAACUAUUCUUUGAAUUAAGUGUGGUUUUAUCUUAUGAGUUUACAGUUGUUUUGUUGAAAAUCUAAAAAUAUCCUUAUAUGAGCAACUAAGUUGCUAACAGCCCAUGGUGUGAGUCAAACAUUAACUACAGUAAAACUCUGCUGGAAGUUCUUUACCUUUGAGAUGCAGGGAGCUAUUUCAAGUGAAGUUGCUCAUUCUCUGUGUGGAAUGGUGUGGGGGUCUUGCAACCUGAUUUACAGGUCAAAGUCUGAAUAAGAAUUUCCUUGUCCCUGUUUUCUGUACACUGUGUCACCGAACACCAGGUAUAAAGUACAUGAGCUUCUUUUAUUUUGCUACUUAUAGUCCAAUUCCAGGCCAGACAAUGUCGGAGACAACUAUUCUUCUGUAGAAAGUUUCAGGAGUCAGCUACUAACUACUGUGUCUGUAAAUGUGCUCUCAAACUAUUUUGUAGUCCUGCUAUUUUUAAAAAUGUGUGGGUAUGGGAAGUGAUGGUGAAUUAACUCAGGGUAAUUGGUGCUUCUCUGUAUUAAGAAAAGUCACACUAGUUGAGGAAGCCUGCUUUCAUGAGUUGUGUAUGUUUAAUUUUUUAAAAAUUCAUCCCACCUUUUCCCACUCCAGUUCCCACCCCUACCUCAUAAAUUCAAGCAAUGAAGGAAUUAGAGUCAUAGGAUUUUAUAGCUGGAAGGAUUUUUAGAGAGAAUCUGGUUAACUCUCUUAACUACAGUUGAGGAAAUUGAUGUCCAGUGAGGUCAAAUAAGAUCAUGUAGCUAGUGUAAAAACCUACAUGACAUUAGCAGUUUAUUUCCAUUGGUAAACACUGUUCUGAAUAAUCUGCCCUAACAGGUGCAUAAUCAGAAGGUAAUAUAAGGGGGAAUCACUAACAUCUGUAUGGUUUUCUCAUCCAUAUCUCAGUGGUUUCUCAGAAGAGCUCUGUGAAGUGUAGCUAUCGAGUUUCCAUUCAAGGAGAAAACAGGCUCCUGGACAGUCGGAGACCUGUCCAUGGCAGUCAUCCACCAAAAGGGCCAGUGCUCCCUGUCUUUGCAUCUUGACAGAACUGUCAGCUGGUCUCAAGAAGUUCUCAUGGACAACAGCAUGGGGAAUCACGUCUUCAUAUUAUAGCUUUAGCUCUAAAAUUGGACCAGUUAUUAACUUCUGGUCCAAUCUAUUUCAUCACUUAUAAAGGAGAAAAAAAAAACACGUUUGAAAGAGCUAUGAGCUCAUAAAUUUUUGAAAAGAAAGAUGCUGGAUAAUUGUAAAUAAAACAUAUUUUAAGAAUCUCCUUAUGAAUACAUUGAAACUGCAGGCAGCACAUAUUGAGCACCUCCCAUGUGUAAAGCAUAUUGUGCACUGCGCCAGUAGACCCAGAGAGAUGAGACAGGAUCAUGGCCUUCAGAGAAGAGGCAAACGCAGCCUGCUCUCCCUUCAAAGACUCAUCUAGAUAGAGAACUGUCCUUGAGAAAAGUCUGGUGCCGUCUGCCUUACUCUAGAGACAGGAGAGGUGUUAAUACUUAGGUCUGAAAUGGGUCAGUUUUUUUCCUAAAUAUUUGUAUUAAAGUAUUCACAUUAAACAAAACUUGUAAAAUACAGAAAAAAAGAAAAAUUACAUAUGUAUAUUCUGAAUUUUUUAAAUAAUGGUAUUUAUAUCUUACACAGAGAUUUUUCUUGGCUUUUCUUUAACUUGAUGGGAUAUCUAAAUGUUCUGUAUCAGUGCAUAACUUUGCAAAUAUAUUUUAAUGAUUACAGAAUUUCAGAAGGGAUCAAUUACUAUGUAUGUCAAUAAUCUGGCUAUUUUUCUAUGGCAAUUACUGAUGUUAUUUUACACAAAAUGAUGAAUAAAAGAUUCUAAACUAAGCUUGGCUACUACUAAGAAAUACUUCCUAAAAGUAUUUUUUUUAAAUAAUGAACUAAGUAGAUUACGUUCAAAUCUUUCUUUAAGAGCAUCAAAAUCACUUAAUUUCUUAAACUAUCCAUAGAAAUUUCAAUUUAUGUACAGUUGACCUAAAUUAGAAAUGGAUUUUUUUAAUUGUGAAAUUUAGAAACAAAAACAUUUUUUAAUGCAGUUUCCAUUAUAGUAUUGUGUUCCUCUGAAAUAAUGUCUCAUUACUCUAAAGGUAUAAAUACUAAUCAUGUUGAAUUUUUACUGUAUGGAGCAAUAUAAUCUAAUAGUUUUCAUUUAAAAAACAAGGACUGUAUAAAUUCUGAAUUCUGACAUUAUUCUAAUGAAAUUCAUCUUAAAUUCACCUAAUGUCCCUUUAGAAAUACGAUCUUCUAUUUCAACAGCACUGCGAGGGCAUCCCUGGGUGAGAGCCGCUCCUUGUGAGGAGCCCAGUGGAGCAAGAACCCCUGAAUGGGAGAGCUGAGCCGGCAGGUGGUGGAGGGGUGCAGCCUGGGAAGUGCUGACAAAGAUGUGCCUGGAGGAAGAGAGGGAUGAGGAGUGGGAGGAAAGUCCCUCCUUAGCCUGAUGGCUGGCAUGCCCUGACGCUCUGGAAUCCCCCUCCCUAGAGAGAAUGCCAGCCAAGGUGGGAGAGGAGGGGCUCCCACAGAGGGGGGCGUAGGGUAAUGACUACCAAAAGCUCUCUGAGGAGCUUGGAUAGCUGCUGUCUGGGGAACGCUGGCCUAGGUUGUAAUCAGUAUUAUUUUAAAGCAGAGUUUGGCAAAUGAAUAAAAAUAUGAUGAAUGAA
Equus caballus (horse) is the source of this 8999-nucleotide non-coding RNA. NCBI's taxonomy places the organism in Eukaryota, Metazoa, Chordata, Mammalia, Perissodactyla, Equidae. The record is from RefSeq and is a predicted model, not a curated record.